Molecule: long non-coding RNA, 284 nt
Filed under: Triticum aestivum (bread wheat)
Lineage: Eukaryota; Viridiplantae; Streptophyta; Magnoliopsida; Poales; Poaceae
Description: long non-coding RNA (TAES_LNC020736)
Source: RNAcentral
AUACCCACGCCACUCACGCACAGUCCUGCCUAAGCUAAGCUAAACAGCAGCGAGCAAUGGCGUCCACCUCCUGCUUCCUCCACCAGUCCACCGCGCGCCUGGCCGCCUCGGCGCGCCCUGCGCCCGCCGUCGGGCGCACCCAGCUUUUCGUCUGCAAGGCGCAGAAGAAUGACGAGGCUGCAUCUGACGCUGCCGUCGUCACCAGCCGGCGCGCCGCGCUGUCCCUCCUCGCCGGUGCCGCCGCCAUCGCCGUCAAGGUCUCCCCCGCCGCCGCCGCCUACGGA